Molecule: small nuclear RNA, 138 nt
Organism: Nyctereutes procyonoides (raccoon dog)
Lineage: Eukaryota; Metazoa; Chordata; Mammalia; Carnivora; Canidae
Product: U4 spliceosomal RNA
Exons: 1
Source: RefSeq, a predicted model, not a curated record
AUCUUUGCGCAGUGGCAGUAUCGUAGCCAAUGAGGUUUAUCCGAGGCGCGAUUAUUGCUAAUGAUUUUUAUUUGCCUUAUUGUUACAUGAAAGUGCUAGAUUUUUUUCACUACAGUUUGUUUAAACAACUCAAAGUUG